This 165-nucleotide unclassified non-coding RNA is filed under the name soil metagenome. Its description in RNAcentral is "partial internal transcribed spacer 1". The record is from RNAcentral.
GCGAGUAAGACCCUGCCCUAGUGGCUCGGUCAGUCCCAUCAUAUACACCUUUAUUCGUGAACUCGUGGCUCAGCUGGACGAUGAAAGCUUUGGCGACUAGCCGUCCGUCGGUUCCGCUCUUUAUACCCUUUAUGUGAAGUCAAUGGAAAUUAUGAUAAUCUAAUA